CCGGGGAGUGACGCGGAGCCCAGAAGGCAUUAAAUAAAUAUGAGAGGAAGUCAUUUCCUGAGCAGAAUGACACCGAGCGGCGAGAAACAGAAAAGGCAACGUGAGCGACUGUGAGGAAGCACACCUACGGUUACCAAGCGCCAGCUCACGUUGGUCACAAGAGCGACAUAAAUAGAUCACCUGUCACGUGAAAAUACCAUCAGCUGAGCGACAAGACACCUGCCCGUGCACGUCUGGUGAUGCCCUUUCCUGACAGAUGGAAUAUGAUCAUAUCGUGUUCUAUCCAGAAGUCAAAGAAGUCAAGAUCAAGAUCAAGAUUAGUUUUCGACACUGCAGGACAGAACAAGUCAGUGACUCAUGGACACGCCUGAUAAAUUAAUCCACAGUACUGGAAUACUCGUGCGGUUAGAAGAACGUGUGCGGCGUCACGGAGCUGAAACAAGAGUGUUGCCGGGCAGCAAAUGUGCAACACCCUGAGACUCAGCUGGCCCGGAAUCAAGCAGCAGGACCCACACCCUGCAUGACAUGUGGAGACCUGAUACUGGCAGUCACGGCGGCCAAAGACAGAUGACUGGUCUGGCCACUUGUCCACAUCACAAGUUCCCUUUAAUGCCUAAAACCUGAAUCACUCCAUCAUGACCUCACCUCCAGAUCCCUGGUGAUGUUGAAACCUUGUUAUCCUGCAUCCAGUAAUUUUCAACAGGAAACAUGUUUCAUCAUUAUGUACAUGGAAGCUGGAUGACUGCUGUAAUUCAUUCUAAAUUUAAAAAAAAAAAUAAAAAAAAUAAAAAUAAAAAUACUACAUUUCCCAUAAGGCUUUAGUGGAUUGACGUUUCCUUCCCAGAGGUCACCUGAGA
RNAcentral lists this long non-coding RNA (857 nucleotides) under Takifugu rubripes (torafugu). Its description in RNAcentral is "lncRNA (ENSTRUG00000026458.1)". Lineage: Eukaryota; Metazoa; Chordata; Actinopteri; Tetraodontiformes; Tetraodontidae. The record is from RNAcentral.